Molecule: long non-coding RNA, 5651 nt
Organism: Tachysurus fulvidraco (yellow catfish)
Lineage: Eukaryota; Metazoa; Chordata; Actinopteri; Siluriformes; Bagridae
Exons: 2
Source: RefSeq, a predicted model, not a curated record
UUACCUUGUAGCUGAAAGUAUUACAAUUACAAAUAGUAGUAGUUAAAAGAAAUAAUUAAGUCAGUAUCCAUUACGUAUUGAUUAUAAGAUAAACAAGUAAAAAAAGAGAAGGAAAUAAUCAAACCGAAGCUGACCCUUUGCUCUGGUGGUCGUUUAUUUGCCCCAGACAGUAGACGUAUUGUAGAUUCUAAGAGUAGAUUUGCCAAUCUUUUUUGCUGUUUUCUUUUUUAAUGACAAAAAAAAAUACUUGAACUUGUGAUGAAAAAAAGGAAAAAAAUAUACAAAAAAAGAAACAUCAAGAAAACAAACAAACAGAAAAAAAAAUCAUCGUCUGUCUAAAUGGCCGCUCGCGCUAGAAAUAUGUAUUGGAUGGAUUAUUACCGCUCAUCCCAGUGUCUUCAACAUGCCACAUGUAAUGAACGAGAACAAGAUAACGCAAGUCAUCUCAGUUUCUUCACUCUGCCAUCUGACAGCUAUUAUGUCUAACUGUGUAAAAAGGAACCCGGGAAGAGAGACGGAAAAAGAAACGACAAAAAAAAAAAGGAACGAACUUAAAGGAGUGUCUAAAGUCUGUACUUGACAGGGUGCAGGCUUCCCAUAAGCCUUUUUGUUCAAGCGACAAUCCACUGUAAAGACCAAGCUACUGGAUAUGAUGUGGACUCUCUUCUUUUCUUUACUCUUUUUUGUAUUACGACAAGGGAGCACGCUAUCUAGACUGAUCUCACAGUUACUACUGCAGUUAGGGUGUUGUGUGUGUGUGUGUGUGUGUGUGUGUGUGUGUGUGUGUGUGUGUGUGUGUGUGUGUGUGUGUGUGUGUGUGUGUGUGUGUGUGUGUGUGUGUGUGUGUGUGAGGGGUGGAAGAAAGACGUGGUCCUUUAAGAGCGGACUUUGAAAAAUCACGAACGUAUGACGAAGACGACGUGGGAGGCGAUAGCUACAGAAACUGCCAAACGAACCGAAAAGAUAACAACUGCAGUGGCUUUUUUUCUAGGUAAGAAAUAAAAAUGAUUCGAAGUGACACCAUGCUGGUUUGAAGAGACACGGAAUGAUAUGUAGGUCUACCGAAGCCACUGAAAACGUAGCGAAGCACUGGAGUUACUUAAGUGCUUUGCGGAUAUAUACUGAACUUUCUUGGGAAAGGCAAAAAAAGAGGAAGGGAAAAAAAAAACAACAAAAAACAAAUGCACUCACAGCAUUAGCAGCUGAAAGCUUUUAGAUGCCAUUAAGCUUUGUUGUAAUCUGAUGUAAAUGGAACACUACUCAUAUGCUCUCUCUAAUGCCAUCAUAAAUGAUAGAACGAACCUGGGAAAGAACGUACGACAGUCAGUCAACACUCUACCCAAGCCUGUAUUGCACUCAAAGCCAUGAAGAUCUGCAGUAUCUGAUCCCUACUACACACAAUCUGAACAAUUUGCACUAGUUAUCACCUCACUACCUGCCAGUGAUUUUAUUCCAAUGUUCUAAAAAAAAAUUUUGUCUGAAUAAUACACAUUAAUACGCAAAAAAAAAAAGCCUAAAAUUCUUCUCAGUUAUUCAUCCUCCAUUUUUUUUUUCAUGAAAAUUUUUUUUCCAAGAAAGAAGCUGGUUUUAUUACGUGCCAAGAUAUUUUAUCUGAAAGCCUGAUUUCUGUGUAGUUUUUAUUUACCAGCAUUAUAUAAAUUUGUCAAAUGCCCUUUAUCGUUAUUGCUAUCUCAGCAUUUAACAACACCUCUACCUUUUUAUCUACAGACUUUCAUUUCACAAAAAUGACCAUUCAUUCAGGUUUUGUUGCAGCUGUAAAUGUAGGACAUUUGGAAAGCACAUAUAUUACUAAGCACUAGAAUAUUGGUGAAGCACAGUAGAAAAGGCUGCUUUAAUGCCACAAAAUGUUGCCCGACUUUGCUUCUUAUAGGUUGCAUAAAAUUGUCUGGACAAAUGUUUUAAGUCACUAAAUCUUUAUUUAUUGUAUAAAUAACAGAGAUGCAUUAAUACCAAGAUUUGUAUCAGGUAUCGGCUUGAAAAAGUAUUCGUUUACUUACUGACCUAACUCUAGUUUAUUAUAUUCCCACGUUAAUGAAAGGAGAGACAAAAACCCACAGCAAUCCAGAUGUCUUUCAUGAUUAUCAAUCGAAGAAAACACUGUGAAAAUAUAUAAUACCAUGAGUAAUACAAUAAAAUACCUUUAUGGUGUAUAAAUGUUAUCUUUAAUAUAGAUUGCAAGGACAAAGCUUGUCAUAAGGAGAAAGAAUUAAAGUUCAUGCAGAGAUCACUUCAGUUCUGCGAGCACUGAGCACUUCUUUUCCCAUCAUCAAGCUGCAACUCGUAACAAGUUUUUUAUCUGUGCUCUCAGGCUGGAUGAAAUUAACAAAAAUAUUUCUACACAUCUUUAAUUGCUGCAUAUUAAAUAUGUUUAAACAUUUCAGUAUUUGUUAUUUGAAUCAGUGAGUAUCAAAAAAAAGAAAACAUGUACUCAUAUUUGGUCUGAAAUACAUGGUAUUAAUGCAUCCCUGUGAAAAAUAAUGCAACAUAAAAGAAAGACACAUCAAUUUCAAACAGCUAAAAUUUCUCUACUUUUUUUUAUCUGUGUUUGAGGAUGUUAGUUGAGUUAAGACAUAUCUAAAGGUAUUUACAGAAGCUACUGCAAUGGGUACAGUUGAAAAUUUGCAUUGUUCUUUAUUUUGGAUUCCUUUUUUAAUUUAUUUUAUUCUUUUCAAUUUCAAAAACAAAAAAUGCAGAGUUGACAUGACUCACUGCUAAGUGUUUGGGUUAUGCUAACGCUUGCUGUGCUGCAAAUCAGAAGGCUACUGUUACAACAAGACUGGUAUCAAGUGUAGGACAACAACAUCAACAAUGCUAGCUCUAAAUUCCACUAAUUUAGACUAUUAGAGCAUUAUCACAAUAGUCAGUUCCCUCAGACGUCCAUUAGAAAGCCGAGCCUCUUCUGUGUCCGUCGGCUCCUCGGUUCCUCGAACCCGUUAGACAGAUGUUGUCGUUUUGCAUGCCGUUAGGCCUUUUUAUUCUUCUUGCAGAAUCAUGUUGCUGGAGAGAUGAAUGCGGGAUGAGUUAAUCGACCAGAGGAGGGGGUGACCUGCCAGAAACAGAGCUCCUCAUCUUCAUUCCCCCUUGAGGCUUUACUGCUCUACCUAAAAUAGAAGUGAUUGUCAAGCAAAGGAAGCGAAAUGUAAUUGACUGAAAGUAAAGAGAUAAUUAAGGGAACCUGUUGGACAGAAGGGGAAAAAUUAAUGCCUCUCAUUUAAUAGCUGGUUUUGGGGGAAAAAAGUGAGAAAGAGAGAGUGAGAUUUCAUCAUCGUGUUUAAACACGAAAGGUUUUGUUUAAAAGGAAAUGAGAACAAAAGGUGAUGGAGGUGCACGCUAGGCUGAAAGUGGGUGUAGCUGCUUCAACUGAAGUGCCGCAAGUUCGACUUUAGUACUCAGGGCAUCACGUAAAAUGAUGUCACGGCUUGUGGACACUUGCAAACAUCUUACACAUGGGAUGAGACCACUUUUAAAAGAAAUGGUUGUUUUUAAUCUAAGCUUCAGCUUUUCAAAUAGGUCAAAGGAAAUGCUUUUCUUGGGGAAAGAAAUAAAAAAAAGAUGGGGCGAUCAGAGAACGUAUGCACUCAACAAAAUGUUCAACAACAACAAAAAAAAUUUCUAAACGCAAGGUUGUUAUCUCUAAUCUUUAAUUUUAAAAUUAAAACCCAAACCACUAUCAAGGGAAAUGAGUUGUUCUCCAUGAAAUAUUAUCAAAACUGUGUUUGUAAAGUGAAACACGCAAAAAAAUAGGCAGAAAUAUAUAAUCAUACAUAUUGAUUAUAACCUACGUUAUGUUCAGAGAUUAGUGACAUCUGAAUGAACAUCCGUAUAACAGCUGCUGGUUUGUGCCAAGAGGUUGUAUCACCUCAUGUAACAAAUGUUUAAAAGAAAAACUUUGUAAAUAUAUAUUAAAAAAAAAUACAGAAAGAAUAAAGAAAAGAUGAUUGCAUUCGGUCAGGAGUGUCCCUAAGUAUAAGAUAUGUGUCUGUUAACAAUAUAUAAAUACCACAUGUCGGAUGUUUCUAAUAAAGCAAGAUUGAAGGGUGUUUGACAAUAUUUUCAGUUACAUUGCUGAAAGAGUUGCACCAGGUGAAAGGACUAGUACUACACUGCAGUGAAGAUACUGCAGUGUAAGAUGAGGGUUAAAUGCAGUGUCAGUGUGUAUCAAGUGGUUAAAAUGUAAGCAGGGGAAUUGCAAUAGUGUACAAUAUGUGCAUAUGAAUGUCUACGUACACAAAACACAGGCUGCAUUCGCAGGUGUUUGGUCAUAACUUGCAUCGAGACUGAGACCCAACCGACCGUCCUUGUCUCACCUCUAUAGCGUCCUCUCUCUUUAUAUCCUGGUCAACUCCGCAAGCCUGGAAACUGUAAAUACAACAUAGCAUAUUUUUCAAUUCCGUUUCAUUUUUCUAGUCUAUGUGAGAGAGUUCGGUCCAAAAUAUUUCUGAGACAAAUGAAAAUAUAGUAUACAGUAUAUAUCUAUAUUUCAUCAAGGCUGAGAGGGGAAACUAGACACAUUUUUAUUUAUGUUUCAAAUGAAUUUUAUACUGUAUGUAUGGUGACAAAUUCUAUUUGAUCAUCAAUGAUUUGUUUUAGUUAGAAUUAUGUUCCUGAGUAAUGUUUUAUAACAAAUAUCUAAAUAUCUAUUAUUAUUAUUAUUAUUAUUAUUAUUAUUAUUAUUAUUAUUAUUAUUAUUAUUAUUAUUAUUAUUAUUAUACUGCAAGAUUUAAAAUAUAUUCUUUUUUAUGUUCUUCAAAACCUGGGACGAUGUACAAAUUGUAUGAUAAAAUGGAAAUCGUGAAAUCAUAUAAGAAUGUCCAGGAGUGUUCUAUGUUUUGAUUUAUGAUCUUAAAUGCCUUGAACUCUUUAUCCGGCUGGAAUCAUUACUAUUCAUGACGUCACCUCUGUUGUCUGGUCUGCUUUAAUCUGUACUGUUCUGCUGUUCAGAUCUAAUCUCAUCAAAUUCAGGAGGAAAAAAAAUCACAUGUAAACUUUAUAUUUGACUUUUAUAUUUUCCUAGCAGCGGGUGAAGUUCAGAUGUCAGGAGCCCCAGUGUGCAGUCGAACAGCUGCUCUAAAACGUUCGCUUUUGUUAACUGUGUAGAUAACAAACUAGGAGGGAUGUUUUGCCUUAAACCCAGCACAUAUUUUUCCCCAGUGAUGCUACCUACACACUUUGUUCCAGUGUCCAUAACUGGGAUUGUAUUGUCUCUGUGUUUGGGCUUUGCAGAGGCCCUUGGUGUUUUAGCACCACUAUACGGACCAACAGAUAACUUAGUAUUACAGUACAGUUGCCAAAUUGACUCAGAGGAGAACAUGGAAAAUGGGUUUUCCAGAAGAAAUUAACCACUGCAUCAUUGUCCUGCUUCUCAAUCUAUGCCCUGAUUUAUUUUAUUGUUUUUGUGUGUUUAUUAUUUUGUUGCUGUUUUUUUCUAUUUUAUUUUAUUUGGAAAUACAUUAUUUUUAAAUUAAAAACAAAUUUUUUUUUCUUGAAUACAAAAGCUGUAAAAUAGCAUUGGCACGAGCCCGUCUUCUCUACAUAUGGGCUGUUUUUUCCCUCAUUGCUCCUGAACCGUGUAGCUCUAGAUCAUUAUAUUCUCUGCUUAGGCUAAAAAUAAAGCACAGUCCUGUAGACCA